GUGUUCGUGAAAAGGAGAGAUGGUUGGCAUCUCCCCUGACAGGGACGGGAACAGCCUUCGGGCUUUCCUGUUACCACACAUCCGGUUAAGGCUACCCACCUUCUGGUGGAUCUUACCCAAUUUUUUA
Molecule: small nuclear RNA, 127 nt
Organism: Lupinus angustifolius (narrow-leaved blue lupine)
Lineage: Eukaryota; Viridiplantae; Streptophyta; Magnoliopsida; Fabales; Fabaceae
Source: Rfam